UACGUAGGGGGCGAGCGUUGUCCGGAUUUAUUGGGCGUAAAGAGCGUGUAGGCGGCCAGGUAGGUCUGCUGUGAAAACUCGAGGCUCAACCUCGAGACGUCGGCGGAAACCAUCUGGCUAGAGUCCGGAAGAGGAGAGUGGAAUUCCUGGUGUAGCGGUGAAAUGCGCAGAUAUCAGGAGGAACACCGGUGGCGAAGGCGGGUCUCUGGACCGUAACUGACGCUGAGACACGAAAGCGUGGGGAGCAAACAGG
This 253-nucleotide ribosomal RNA is filed under the name uncultured bacterium. Its description in RNAcentral is "partial 16S ribosomal RNA". It matches the Rfam family "Bacterial small subunit ribosomal RNA", at positions 524 to 776 of the family's 1533-position model. The record is from RNAcentral.